RNAcentral lists this ribosomal RNA (460 nucleotides) under uncultured bacterium. RNAcentral's name for it is "partial 16S ribosomal RNA". It matches the Rfam family "Bacterial small subunit ribosomal RNA", at positions 338 to 795 of the family's 1533-position model. The record is from RNAcentral.
CCUACGGGAGGCAGCAGUGAGGAAUAUUGGUCAAUGGACGAGAGUCUGAACCAGCCAAGUAGCGUGAAGGAUGACUGCCCUAUGGGUUGUAAACUUCUUUUAUAUGGGAAUAAAAUGUUCCACGUGUGGGAGUUUGUAUGUACCAUAUGAAUAAGGAUCGGCUAACUCCGUGCCAGCAGCCGCGGUAAUACGGAGGAUCCGAGCGUUAUCCGGAUUUAUUGGGUUUAAAGGGUGCGUAGGUGGUCUGAUAAGUCAGUUGUGAAAGUUUGCGGCUCAACUGUAGAAUUGCAGUUGAUACUGGCCGUCUUGAGUACAGUAGAGGUAGGCGGAAUGCGUGGUGUAGCGGUGAAAUGCUUAGAUAUCACGAAGAACUCCGAUUGCGAAGGCAGCUCACUGGACUGCAACUGACACUGAGGCUCGAAAGUGUGGGUAUCAAACAGGAUUAGAUACCCGAGUAGUC